RNAcentral lists this ribosomal RNA (468 nucleotides) under uncultured bacterium. RNAcentral's name for it is "partial 16S ribosomal RNA". It matches the Rfam family "Bacterial small subunit ribosomal RNA", at positions 28 to 507 of the family's 1533-position model. The record is from RNAcentral.
GACGAACGCUGGCGGCGUGCUUAACACAUGCAAGUCGAACGGAAAGGCCCUGCUUUUGUGGGGUUCUCGAGUGGCGAACGGGUGAGUAACACGUGUGUAACCUGCCCUUGACUUUGGGAUAACUUCAGGUAACUGGGGCUAAUACCGGAUAGGAUCUCCUGCUGCAUGGUGGGGGUUGGAAAGUUUCGGCUGUUGGGGAUGGACUCGCGGCUUAUCAGCUUGUUGGUGGGGUAGUGGCUUACCAAGGCUUUGACGGGUAGCCGGCCUGGGAGGGUGACCGGCCACAUUGGGACUACGAGAGGGACCAGACUCGAACGGGAGGCAGAAGUGGGGAGUAUUGCACAAUGGGCGGAAGCCUGAUGCAGAGACGCCGCGUGCGGGAUGACGGCCUUCGGGUUGUAAACCGCUUUAGCCUGUGACGAAGCGUGAGUGACGGUAAUGGGUAAAGAAGCACCGGCUAACUACGUG